This 73-nucleotide transfer RNA is filed under the name Homo sapiens (human). RNAcentral describes it as "tRNA-Glu-CTC-15-1". Lineage: Eukaryota; Metazoa; Chordata; Mammalia; Primates; Hominidae. The record is from RNAcentral.
CCCCUGGCGGUCUAGUGGUUAGGAUUCGGCGCUCUCAUCCACCGCGGCCUGGGUUCGACUCGUGGUCAGAGUG